CCAAACUCACUCACGAGCCCUCAGUUAUUCAGACGAGGCGACUGGUAAAGACAAGACAGACUGAAAAGUAGUGUGGGGCUUCUCUUACCAACAGAAUCCUCCUUCAGGAACCCUUUCCCGUCCUUUCAGCUGGCUUCCCUCAUCUUUCCGAGAUGAUGCGAGGGAAGGACUUUAGAUGAUUAGCAUUCCUCUUGCUCUCUGUUUUCUCCCCGUCGCGCCCUGCUCCUCCAGAUUUCUCCACAGUCUCCGAGGGGAAGCGGGAGCAUCAGUGAAACGCCGCCGCGCGCCCCGCUGCAGGAGGCUGCACGUCAAUCACACAGGUAACCUAGGGAACCGCUGGGCCCGCCUCCCCCCGCAGCCGCCGCUGAUUGGGCGGCAGACGGAGAACCAGAAGUCACAAGCCUCACAGAUCCACAGAUGGGAACCGCGAGCUGUGGUGGGAUCAUGUACGGAGCCAAACAAACAGUAGUGGAUUGCAGUACUUGUGAAGUCUUUCUCUCCUCUCCGCUUCUCUCUCUGACUUCACAGCCUGCCGCUUUAUUUUACAGUUGCUUAGCAACAGACUGGCAUGUGUGAGCGUUGAGUGUGUGUAGCAGAACAAGAGGAGAAAUGUGGGAGAGAAGAAGUCCCAAACACACUCUUCUCUCUCAGCCAGGUGUUGUUACACUACACUUACACAAUGCACAAGAACCUACAUCACCUUCACAACAGAAGGAUCAGAUCCAUGACUACGGUUGCCAGAAAACACAGGAAGUAGCAGAAACUUCUCACCACUCUGAAGCCGAGAUUGGCUCAGGACAAAAAUACCAGCUUUGACACCAGAUGGAGAAGAAAUUGAUGUGUGGAGAGUGUAAGAUGGCGUUUCGAUCAGCUGAGCUGCUGGCGAAACACAAAGCCAAGUUCUGCGUUGGGAGCGAGGUUCACCACCUCCGGGUGCACACGCACAGCUCUCCAGUUGUUCUGAGGAACAACGGUGGAGCCAUCGAACCAAGACAAACAAGAACAGCUGACCUUGUGCAGACAGGAGGUCAGCAGAGGACGACCACAGGGGGGAGGAGCACUGAGGCUGAGCCAGAGUCAAGUAGAGGCCGAAACACAGCCGAUGGAGUCGCUCUGCUCACAGACCAGUUUCAGAAGUUGAGAGUGUCCAUAGAGGAAACCUUGAUCCACACGUCAAAGCGGGCCUCAGACGCUGGGGUGAGUGGGCAGCAGCUGGGUCACAGCGAGAGACUGGAGCGGAUGAGGGACAUGGCAACGCUCCACGAGCGCCAACUGGCCAUGAUACGUGUUCAGCACAAGCAGCUGGAGCAGCAGCGGGACGGUGAGCGAUAGACGAGAACGUGAAAUAGGUCAAUUUAUGGCCCAGGCGGGUUGAAUGUGGCUGAUGUGACCGCGUGCGCUAGAGCUGUCCCAUCAGGCGGGCGUCCGGUCCGAACAGAGCGUCACAAGUCAUCUGGAGGCUCUGCUGAUGGAGCUCAGGGAGCAGGAGGAGAGGAAUGAGGAAACCCUGCAGCAUCUGCGCGAGCACCUCCACGCGUUACCGUCGCAACAGGAUGCAGUUUGUGCUGACCAGACACAGCCACAGAGUAUGAAAAGGCCGCACGAGACAAACGAGCUCAUGUCAUCUGCUGACGGGCCUCUGUCUGCACAGAUAAGAGCUCUGCGACGUGCAUACAUGCAGUCAGGUGCCACAGACCCAGAUAUAGUAGCACAGAUGAUUGACCUGCAGGCAGAGGCCCAAAGUCUGGAGAGACACCAACCAGCAGCUGCUGUGGCCAAGAAAAAGAGUAAGGAAAAGGUUCCAAGCUCAGCGUUAACAUUUCAUAGUUCCAAAAUUAUAUCGACGGGGAACAGAAAAUGA
RNAcentral lists this long non-coding RNA (1861 nucleotides) under Betta splendens (Siamese fighting fish). RNAcentral describes it as "lncRNA (ENSBSLG00000016415.1)". The record is from RNAcentral. Lineage: Eukaryota; Metazoa; Chordata; Actinopteri; Anabantiformes; Osphronemidae.